AACGUGAAGAAGCCUUACCAGGCCUUGACAUGCAGAGAACUUUCCAGAGAUGGAUUGGUGCCUUCGGGAACUCUGACACAGGUGCUGCAUGGCUGUUGUCAGCUCGUGUCGUGAGAUGUUGGGUUAAGUCCCGUAACGAGCGCAACCCUUGUCCUUAGUUACCAGCACGUUAUGGUGGGCACUCUAAGGAGACUGCCGGUGACAAACCGGAGGAAGGUGGGGAUGACGUCAAGUCAUCAUGGCCCUUACGGCUUAGGCUACACACGUGUUCCAAUGGUCGGUACAGAGGGUUGCCAAGCCGCGAGGGGGAGUUAAUCUCACAAACACGAUGGUAGUCCGGAUCGCAGUCUCCAAGUCGUCGGCGGGAAGUCGGAAGCGUUAGUAAUCGUGAAUGAGAA
RNAcentral lists this ribosomal RNA (398 nucleotides) under Pseudomonas sp. VC45. Its description in RNAcentral is "bacterial SSU rRNA". It matches the Rfam family "Bacterial small subunit ribosomal RNA", at positions 958 to 1354 of the family's 1533-position model. Lineage: Bacteria; Pseudomonadati; Pseudomonadota; Gammaproteobacteria; Pseudomonadales; Pseudomonadaceae. The record is from RNAcentral.